Molecule: ribosomal RNA, 827 nt
Filed under: Enterococcus faecium
Lineage: Bacteria; Bacillati; Bacillota; Bacilli; Lactobacillales; Enterococcaceae
Description: partial 23S ribosomal RNA
Rfam family: Bacterial large subunit ribosomal RNA
Source: RNAcentral
GAUCCAGAGAUUUCCGAAUGGGGGAACCCAACAUCUUUAAUAGGAUGUUACGAUUGUGUGAAUACAUAGCACAUUCGAGGUAGACGCAGAGAACUGAAACAUCUAAGUACCUGCAGGAAGAGAAAGAAAAUUCGAUUCCCUGAGUAGCGGCGAGCGAAACGGGAAAAGCCCAAACCAGCAAGCUUGCUUGUUGGGGUUGUAGGACUCCAAUAUGGUAGUUCUUUCAGAUAGUCGAAUGACUUGGAAAAGUCAGUCAAAGAGGGUAAAAACCCCGUAGACGAAAUGUGGAAGACACCUAGGAGGAUCCUGAGUACGGCGGAACACGAGAAAUUCCGUCGGAAUCCGGGAGGACCAUCUCCCAAGGCUAAAUACUCCCUAGUGACCGAUAGUGAACCAGUACCGUGAGGGAAAGGUGAAAAGCACCCCGGAAGGGGAGUGAAAUAGAACCUGAAACCGUGUGCCUACAACAAGUCAAAGCCCGUUAAUGGGUGAUGGCGUGCCUUUUGUAGAAUGAACCGGCGAGUUACGAUUGCAUGCGAGGUUAAGUUGAAGAGACGGAGCCGCAGCGAAAGCGAGUCUGAAUAGGGCGUUUGAGUAUGUAGUCGUAGACCCGAAACCAUGUGAUCUACCCAUGUCCAGGUUGAAGGUGCGGUAAAACGCACUGGAGGACCGAACCCACGUACGUUGAAAAGUGCGGGGAUGAGGUGUGGGUAGCGGAGAAAUUCCAAACGAACUUGGAGAUAGCUGGUUCUCUCCGAAAUAGCUUUAGGGCUAGCCUCGGAAUUGAGAAUGAUGGAGGUAGAGCACUGUUUGGACUAGGGGCCCAU